GCUUUUGGAUGGACCCGCGGCGUAUUAGCUAGUUGGUGAGGUAACGGCUCACCAAGGCAAUGAUACGUAGCCGAACUGAGAGGUUGAUCGGCCACAUUGGGACUGAGACACGGCCCAAACUCCUACGGGAGGCAGCAGUAGGGAAUCUUCCACAAUGGACGCAAGUCUGAUGGAGCAACGCCGCGUGAGUGAAGAAGGCUUUCGGGUCGUAAAACUCUGUUGUUGGAGAAGAAUGGUCGGCAGAGUAACUGUUGUCGGCGUGACGGUAUCCAACCAGAAAGCCACGGCUAACUACGUGCCAGCAGCCGCGGUAAUACGUAGGUGGCAAGCGUUAUCCGGAUUUAUUGGGCGUAAAGCGAGCGCAGGCGGUUUUUUAAGUCUGAUGUGAAAGCCCUCGGCUUAACCGAGGAAGUGCAUCGGAAACUGGGAAACUUGAGUGCACAAGAGGACAGUGGAACUCCAUGUGUAGCGGUGAAAUGCGUAGAUAUAUGGAAGAACACCAGUGGCGAAGGCGGCUGUCUGGUCUGUAACUGACGCUGAGGCUCGAAAGCAUGGGUAGCGAACAUGAUUACAUACCCUGGUAGUCCAUGCCGUAAACGAUGAAUGCUAGGUGUUGGAGGGUUUCCGCCCUUCACUGCCGCAGCUAACGCAUUAAGCAUUCCGCCUGGGGAGUACGACCGCAAGUUGAAACUCAAAGGAAUUGACGGGUGCCCGCACAAGCGGUGGAGCAUGUGGUUUAAUUCUAAUCAACGCGAAGAACCUUACAAGU
This 769-nucleotide ribosomal RNA is filed under the name Lacticaseibacillus rhamnosus. Its description in RNAcentral is "bacterial SSU rRNA". It matches the Rfam family "Bacterial small subunit ribosomal RNA", at positions 217 to 978 of the family's 1533-position model. The record is from RNAcentral. Lineage: Bacteria; Bacillati; Bacillota; Bacilli; Lactobacillales; Lactobacillaceae.